Choloepus didactylus (southern two-toed sloth) is the source of this 75-nucleotide small nucleolar RNA. RefSeq annotates it as small nucleolar RNA SNORD24. The transcript has a single exon. The record is from RefSeq and is a predicted model, not a curated record. Lineage: Eukaryota; Metazoa; Chordata; Mammalia; Pilosa; Megalonychidae.
UGCAGAUGAUGUGGAAGAAUAUUUGCUAUCUGAGGCGCGGUGCGGACGCCCUUAACCACCAAGAUCGCUGAUGCA